GGCGGAAGGGCGAGUAAUGCAUAGAUGACCUACCCUCGAGAUGGGGACAACCAUUCGAAAGGAUGGCUAAUACCCAAUAAGACCACGGGUCGCAUGGCCUGUGCUUAAAGAUGGGGACCCGCAAGGGCCUUUCGCUCGAGGAGGGGUUUAUGUCCUAUCAGCUUGUUGGUGGGGUAACGGCCCACCAAGGCGAUGACGGGUAGCCGACCUGAGAGGGUGACCGGCCGCACUGGGACUGAGACACUGCCCAGACUCCUACGGGAGGCUGCAGUCGAGGAUCUUCCGCAAUGCGCGAAAGCGUGACGGAGCGACGCCGCGUGGUUGAUGAAGGCCUUCGGGUUGUAAAGCCCUGUCGACUGGGAAGAAUGGCGGGAGGUGAAUAGCCAUCUCGUCUGACGCUACCAGUAAAGGAAGCACCGGCUAAAUACGUGCCAGCAGCCGCGGUAAUACGUAUGGUGCGAACGUUGUUCGGAAUCACUGGGCAUAAAGAGCACGUAGGCGGUCGGGCAAGUCCAUUGUGAAAUCCCCCGGCUUAACCGGGGAACUGCAAUGGAUACUACUCGGCUUGAGUGU
This 573-nucleotide ribosomal RNA is filed under the name uncultured bacterium. RNAcentral describes it as "bacterial SSU rRNA". It matches the Rfam family "Bacterial small subunit ribosomal RNA", at positions 97 to 649 of the family's 1533-position model. The record is from RNAcentral.